RNAcentral lists this non-coding RNA (211 nucleotides) under Proboscia alata. Lineage: Eukaryota; Bacillariophyta; Melosirophyceae; Probosciales; Probosciaceae. The record is from RNAcentral.
CUUUUUUUGUUUUUGUUGUACGUGUGUUACUCGGGUGAGAAAAUACAAGUGAAGGAAGGGGUAGGGAGGGGGUGAAAAAAAGAAACAAAUAGAAAAGGUAACGAAAUAGAUAUGUGGUUUGUGUGUCUUUAGUUACGGUUGUAUACAGUUUUGACAACAUAAAUCAAUUUAUAAUGCAGUUACUGUUUUGGUAACAUGUGCACACAUAAAG